GUAGGGCGGGACACGUGGUAUCCUGUCUGAAUAUGGGGGGACCAUCCUCCAAGGCUAAAUACUCCUGACUGACCGAUAGUGAACCAGUACCGUGAGGGAAAGGCGAAAAGAACCCCGGCGAGGGGAGUGAAAAAGAACCUGAAACCGUGUACGUACAAGCAGUAGGAGCCCACUAGUUGGGUGACUGCGUACCUUUUGUAUAAUGGGUCAGCGACUUAUAUUCUGUAGCAAGGUUAACCGAAUAGGGGAGCCGCAGGGAAACCGAGUCUUAACUGGGCGUUAAGUUGCAGGGUAUAGACCCGAAACCCGGUGAUCUAGCCAUGGGCAGGUUGAAGGUUGGGUAACACUAACUGGAGGACCGAACCGACUAAUGUUGAAAAAUUAGCGGAUGACUUGUGGCUGGGGGUGAAAGGCCAAUCAAACCGGGAGAUAGCUGGUUCUCCCCGAAAGCUAUUUAGGUAGCGCCUCGUGAAUUCAUCUUCGGGGGUAGAGCACUGUUUCGGCUAGGGGGUCAUCCCGACUUACCAACCCGAUGCAAACUACGAAUACCGAAGAAUGUUAUCACGGGAGACACACGGCGGGUGCUAACGUCCGUCGUGAAGAGGGAAACAACCCAGACCGCCAGCUAAGGUCCCAAAGUCAUGGUUAAGUGGGAAACGAUGUGGGAAGGCCCAGACAGCCAGGAUGUUGGCUUAGAAGCAGCCAUCAUUUAAAGAAAGCGUAAUAGCUCACUGGUCGAGUCGGCCUGCGCGGAAGAUGUAACGGGGCUAAACCAUGCACCGAAGCUGCGGCAGCGACACUAUGUGUUGUUGGGUAGGGGAGCGUUCUGUAAGCCGUUGAAGGUGGCCUGUGAGGGUUGCUGGAGGUAUCAGAAGUGCGAAUGCUGACAUAAGUAACGAUAAUGCGGGUGAAAAACCCGCACGCCGGAAGACCAAGGGUUCCUGUCCAACGUUAAUCGGGGCAGGGUGAGUCGACCCCUAAGGCGAGGCCGAAAGGCGUAGUCGAUGGGAAACAGGUUAAUAUUCCUGUACUUGGUGUUACUGCGAAGGGGGGACGGAGAAGGCUAUGUUGGCCGGGCGACGGUUGUCCCGGUUUAAGCAUGUAGGCGGAUGUUCCAGGUAAAUCCGGAACGUUACUAACGCUGA
This 1145-nucleotide ribosomal RNA is filed under the name Klebsiella oxytoca. Its description in RNAcentral is "partial 23S ribosomal RNA". It matches the Rfam family "Bacterial large subunit ribosomal RNA", at positions 412 to 1559 of the family's 2925-position model. The record is from RNAcentral. Lineage: Bacteria; Pseudomonadati; Pseudomonadota; Gammaproteobacteria; Enterobacterales; Enterobacteriaceae.